RNAcentral lists this ribosomal RNA (413 nucleotides) under uncultured bacterium. Its description in RNAcentral is "bacterial SSU rRNA". It matches the Rfam family "Bacterial small subunit ribosomal RNA", at positions 505 to 916 of the family's 1533-position model. The record is from RNAcentral.
GUGUCAGCAGCCGCGGUAAAACGUAGGUCCCGAGCGUUGUUCGGAUUCACUGGGUGUAAAGGGCGCGUAGGUGGUUGUCUGUGUCUCAUGUGAAAUUCCCUGGCUCAACCAGGGAGGGUCGUGGGAAACCGAGAGGCUAGAGGGCAGGAGAGGAGAGUGGAAUUCCCGGUGUAGCGGUAAAAUGCGUAGAUACCGGGAGGAACACCGGUGGCGAAGGCGGCUCUCUGGGCCGAUCCUGACGCUGAGGCGCGAAAGCUAGGGUAGCGAACCGGAUUAGAUACCCGGGUAGUCCUAGCCGUAAACGAUGGGUGCUAGGUGUUGGGGGGUAAAGACCCUUCAGUGCCGAAGCUAACGCGAUAAGCAUCCCACCUGGGGAGUACGGCCGCAAGGUUGAAACUCAAAGGAAUUGGCGG